UACGAAGGGGGCUAGCGUUGUUCGGAAUCACUGGGCGUAAAGCGCACGUAGGCGGAUGUGUCAGUCAGGGGUGAAAUCCCGGGGCUCAACCUCGGAACUGCCUCUGAUACAGCACAUCUUGAGUCCGGAAGAGGUGGGUGGAAUUCCUAGUGUAGAGGUGAAAUUCGUAGAUAUUAGGAAGAACACCGGUGGCGAAGGCGGCCCACUGGCCCGGUACUGACGCUGAGGUGCGAAAGCGUGGGGAGCAAACAGG
RNAcentral lists this ribosomal RNA (253 nucleotides) under uncultured bacterium. RNAcentral's name for it is "partial 16S ribosomal RNA". It matches the Rfam family "Bacterial small subunit ribosomal RNA", at positions 524 to 776 of the family's 1533-position model. The record is from RNAcentral.